RNAcentral lists this ribosomal RNA (253 nucleotides) under uncultured bacterium. RNAcentral describes it as "partial 16S ribosomal RNA". It matches the Rfam family "Bacterial small subunit ribosomal RNA", at positions 524 to 776 of the family's 1533-position model. The record is from RNAcentral.
UACGGGGGGGGCAAGCGUUGUUCGGAAUUACUGGGCGUAAAGGGCUCGUAGGCGGCCAACUAAGUCGGAUGUGAAAUCCCCAGGCUCAACCUGGGAACUGCAUCCGAUACUGGAUGGCUUGAAUCCGGGAGAGGGAUGCAGAAUUCCAGGUGUAGCGGUGAAAUGCGUAGAUAUCGAGAGGAACACCUGCGGCGAAGGCGGGUUGCUGGGCUGAUACUGACGCUGAUGCGCGAAAGCCAGGGGAGCGAACGGG